Molecule: ribosomal RNA, 456 nt
Filed under: Triticum aestivum (bread wheat)
Lineage: Eukaryota; Viridiplantae; Streptophyta; Magnoliopsida; Poales; Poaceae
Description: partial small subunit ribosomal RNA
Source: RNAcentral
AUGGAAAACCACCUCCCAGGCGUCGCCAGCAGGAGAGGAGCCGGCUCCGCUCUCCUACGCACCCACACAAACAUCGUCGCCUUGGGUGAGGAGUUCGUGGGAGGAGAAGCCGAGAAGGUCGGGGAGUGGGAGGAGGAGGAGGAGUUAGUUCAGCAGAUCAGCAGCGGCAGUGCCGGGAGAGGAAGGGCCAUGGCGGCGGCGGCUUUCGGACUACGCGUUGAGCGGUAUCUCUCCGUGCCGCCGGGACGGCAAGCCCAUGGAGAAGCGCGGUCACCCCGGUACAUGGCCGUCUUCCAUCUCCAUCUGCUGCUCCCCACUCCUGCCGUCCCAUGGCCUGCGUCGCCGCUUCUUGGUUGUUCCCACCUGCUGAUACUACUCGGAUCCCUUGGCUAUUCAGUUCCUGUCUCCACAUCUUUGCAAAGUUUCCUGAAUGGACUCAAGAGUUAUGACUGUUGA